GUCCACUGAACCUUAUCAUUUAGAGGAAGGAGAAGUCGUAACAAGGUUUCCGUAGGUGAACCUGCGGAAGGAUCAUUGUCGAAACCCGCGAGACAGACCCGCGAACCCGUUCCACGACACUCGCGGGAGGACGAUGCGGGCGCGAUCGAACGGUCGCCCCGGGUCGGAGACCCGCUCCGUCGACGCGCGCGCGAGCGCCCGUCGCACGGCCUAACGAACCCCGGCGCGAAAAGCGUCAAGGAACACUCAAGGCAUCGCUCGCCCCCCGGUGCCCCGUCCGCGGUGCACCUCGGGGACAGGGCGUGCAUCGAAAUCGAAACGACUCUCGGCAACGGAUAUCUCGGCUCUCGCAUCGAUGAAGAACGCAGCAAAAUGCGAUACUUGGUGUGAAUUGCAGAAUCCCGUGAACCAUCGAGUUUUUGAACGCAAGUUGCGCCCGAGGCCAUCGUGCCGAGGGCACGUCUGCCUGGGCGUCACGCACAUCGUCGCCCUCCGCCCCGUCCCGACGCGGGAUCGCGGGCGCCGGGCCGGAAACUGGCCUCCCGUGCGCGUCCGCGCGCGGCCGGCCCAAAUGCGAUUCGGCGUCGACGCGAGUCGCGGCAAUUGGUGGUUGAGGACCUCAACUCGCGCGUUGUCGCGCGCGAUCGCGUCGUUCGGCCGGGAUGCCCCGGACCCCGAAGGUGCCGUGCACCUCGACGGCGACCCCAGGUCAGGUGGGAUCACCCGCUGAGUUUAAGCAUAUCAAUAAGCGGAGGA
RNAcentral lists this ribosomal RNA (756 nucleotides) under Olea europaea subsp. cuspidata. RNAcentral describes it as "eukaryotic LSU rRNA". The stretch from base 321 to 476 matches the Rfam family "5.8S ribosomal RNA". Lineage: Eukaryota; Viridiplantae; Streptophyta; Magnoliopsida; Lamiales; Oleaceae. The record is from RNAcentral.